RNAcentral lists this non-coding RNA (24 nucleotides) under Cricetulus griseus (Chinese hamster). Lineage: Eukaryota; Metazoa; Chordata; Mammalia; Rodentia; Cricetidae. The record is from RNAcentral.
GUGCAGAGUGCAGAACCCAAACGC